Molecule: non-coding RNA, 26 nt
Filed under: Rattus norvegicus (Norway rat)
Lineage: Eukaryota; Metazoa; Chordata; Mammalia; Rodentia; Muridae
Source: RNAcentral
UAUAUAUAGAUGUGUACUCGGAGAGC